Molecule: long non-coding RNA, 395 nt
Organism: Hippocampus comes (tiger tail seahorse)
Lineage: Eukaryota; Metazoa; Chordata; Actinopteri; Syngnathiformes; Syngnathidae
Exons: 3
Source: RefSeq, a predicted model, not a curated record
UUUUUUUUUUGUAUGUACAUGGCCUGACAGAGAGAGUCAAACAGGCCAUUGUUUGUCCUGUUGAUCUACUUGGUGCCACUUAUGACAAGUGUGUGGUUUUGUUUUCAGAGUUGGAGUUGCGUCAGCGCCGCGGUUGCUUGUGUGCGAGUACGCUGCUGCUAACUGUGCAGGACCGCCAGGAACCGCUUGGCAGUGGCGGGGCCACGCUCAACGCACUACUCGUCGCAGCCGAACACCUUAGCAGCCGGGCGGGACACACCGUGGUGACGGCCGACGUUUUGAAUGACGCUCACAUCCUCAUCCUCCACACGGGUCGCGACUUCCCGUGGAGUUCGUGCAGCCGAGCAUUCUCGUGGCUGCCUGUGGAGGAUCCCGCCCUCGGGGUUCAGGCCCCC